GCUUCGGGGGACUAGUGGUUAGAGUGACCGCCUCAGAUGCAGCAGGUCGCGGGUUCGAAUCCCGGCCGAGUCA
Non-coding RNA from Potamilus streckersoni, 73 nucleotides. Lineage: Eukaryota; Metazoa; Mollusca; Bivalvia; Unionida; Unionidae. The record is from the annotation of a GenBank genome assembly.